This is a long non-coding RNA of Daphnia magna, 1082 nucleotides long. RefSeq lists it as uncharacterized. The transcript is spliced from 2 exons. NCBI's taxonomy places the organism in Eukaryota, Metazoa, Arthropoda, Branchiopoda, Diplostraca, Daphniidae. The record is from RefSeq and is a predicted model, not a curated record.
UGGAUUCAUUGCUCCCAAUGGAUUUCCUACGUUAUAUAUGAAGAAGACAACACAUGUUAAACAAUGGUAUUGAAACGGUUGUCGCUAAAAGGAAUAUUUAAAAACUCGUGAAAAACAACAAGUAAAACAUUUUUUUUUUUGGAAUGACAGAAGAGUUUGUAGCUUACCAUAACCCUGGAAGCUGGGUUGCUGCACAGGUACGUAAUAGGGUAAUAGCAAUUGACGUGAGUCUCGAGAAGCUGUUUGAACUGACUCUUCUGCUGGCCUUCCACUUGCCAUCCAUGGUGUCAGCACCAACUAUGUUACAGAAAUUUCAAAAAGUUUUAACUUUAAUAAUAGAAAAUAAAAGUAUCAAAAUUUUACCAUCACUAGAUAGAAGGAAGUGGUGUACAUUCUGAUCAGUUAGGCCCUAAGUGAUAUGUAUAUUCUUGUGGACAAAUGUAGUGAAAACUAAACCGGCACGUCUCUUUUUCUCUUCUGUCGAGUUUACGGAGCACGGAGAAUUCAUUUUAUACUGUAUGCUCCUGUUCAAACGGUUUUUCACAAAACAAGUUUGGAACCGAAAUGUUUCUCGGGGCAAACUAAUGUUAUGAAUAACAAAGUCUUUGACCUCGCCAUUCAAAUCUAGCAUUGCGAGUAAAACGUGUUGUGAUAUUGGCACCCCAAUUAUAAUUAUCCCCCAGUAAUCGCUAAAACUUUAAGAUUCCUACUUGUUUGUGGGUGAAUUCCGGAGGGCCAAUUCAAUUUGGAAAAAUUUAUUUUUGUAGCCAUCCACCGCAUGUUAUUUAGCUUUAAAAAAAGUGGCUCUAAGCAGGAAAUUGAUUCCCUUUUAUGGAAAUUGAUUCCCUUCUAGAUCUAUUACCGGUUUUAUCCAGUUUAAUUUUUUGUUUGUUUUAUUUUAUGAUCUUCCUGUUGAACAUUCAGAAGAAUUAUUCCCCAGACUACUUUCCAGCUCAUUUUUGCCUCCGGCCUUGCAAUUUAAUCAGUGUCAUCUAUUCUGUUUUAACCUUGAAGGGCGUGAAUUAACGCCCUUACGAUUUGGAGUUGGCAACUUCAUAGAUAUUACAUUUGCAAUUGAAGAA